RNAcentral lists this ribosomal RNA (382 nucleotides) under uncultured bacterium. RNAcentral's name for it is "bacterial SSU rRNA". It matches the Rfam family "Bacterial small subunit ribosomal RNA", at positions 28 to 409 of the family's 1533-position model. The record is from RNAcentral.
GACGAACGCUGGCGGCGUGCUUAACACAUGCAAGUCGAGCGGUAAGGCCCUUUCGGGGGUACACGAGCGGCGAACGGGUGAGUAACAUGUGGGUGACCUGCCCUCCAGCUCUGGGACUAAGCCUGGGAAACUGGGUCUAAUACCGGAUAUGACUCCAUGACGCAUGUUGUGGGGUGGAAAGCCUUGUGCGGCUGAGGAGUGGGCCCGCGGCCUAUCAGCUUGUUGGUGGGGNGAUGGCCUACCAAGGCGACGACGGGUAGCCGGCCUGAGAGGGCGACGGCCACACUGGGACUGAGACACGGCCCAGACUCCUACGGGAGGCAGCAGUGGGGAAUCUUGCGCAAUGGGCGAAAGCCUGACGCAGCGACGCCGCGUGAGGGAU